GUGGGGAAUCUUGCGCAAUGGGCGAAAGCCUGACGCAGCCAUGCCGCGUGAAUGAUGAAGGUCUUAGGAUUGUAAAAUUCUUUCACCGGGGACGAUAAUGACGGUACCCGGAGAAGAAGCUCCGGCUAACUUCGUGCCAGCAGCCGCGGUAAUACGAAGGGGGCUAGCGUUGCUCGGAAUUACUGGGCGUAAAGGGCGCGUAGGCGGACAGCUUAGUCAGAGGUGAAAGCCCAGGGCUCAACCUUGGAAUUGCCUUUGAUACUGGCUGUCUUGAGUUUGGGAGAGGUGAGUGGAACUCCGAGUGUAGAGGUGAAAUUCGUAGAUAUUCGGAAGAACACCAGUGGCGAAGGCGACAUACUGGCUCAUUACUGACGCUGAGGCGCGAAAGCGUGGGGAGCAAACAGGAAUAGAAACCCCGGUAGUCC
RNAcentral lists this ribosomal RNA (425 nucleotides) under uncultured bacterium. RNAcentral describes it as "partial 16S ribosomal RNA". It matches the Rfam family "Bacterial small subunit ribosomal RNA", at positions 354 to 796 of the family's 1533-position model. The record is from RNAcentral.